CAAAUCACACAGAACCACGCGAGACCUCAAAACGAUAAGUUGUUGGCAAUAUGGCGGCACAGAGUAAAAUAUUGAUUACAUUUUAAGGGAAGCAGGGGUUUUAGGCAGGAUUUGAUGCAUGAUGUGUGUGUAGAUAUUAAUGUUAGGGGACAAUGUGAGAGUGUACGUUUUAGUAGGAAAACGUAUUAUCUGACCCACACUCCGGAACAGAAGAGGGCGGUAUUGCACCAAUAAGCUGGAUGCGAACCGCCGUUAAACUGGAAAGAAGACGAAUAUGACAGCUUGCUGUGAGAGACAACGGGACAGAUGAGACACACGUGUGUUUAUCUGCUGCAGAGACACUGAUGAAGGAAUGCUGCCAUCAAAGGAUUUGUAUCUUUUGUGGUGCAGCAGGACCUGCAAGGAAAGGUGAAAAAGAGGGAAAACCUGAAACAAAAGAAUAAUGUAAUGACGUAUUGUGUAUGUGUAUUUUUGUAGGGCAUGAAAAUGUCUGUAGACUGAUGUGUGCACUGAGGAUGGAGAAGACCAAAUCAUCAUCCUGGAAAUGAUCGAGAGUCACAAAUGAGACGCUACAUCACUCCAGCUCUUACUGUCUCAUCAGGACCAGAUGCUGCUGUGGUGUCUUCAUCCUCAGUGACCCCAGAGCCAGUGAGAGCAUCAAGAGAAAGACCACAAGACACUGACGAUGUGAUUUUGGUAAAGUUUGUUCAGCUGGUUACUGUUUAAACAAUGAAAGCUG
Molecule: long non-coding RNA, 739 nt
Organism: Carassius carassius (crucian carp)
Lineage: Eukaryota; Metazoa; Chordata; Actinopteri; Cypriniformes; Cyprinidae
Exons: 3
Source: RefSeq, a predicted model, not a curated record